Austrofundulus limnaeus is the source of this 438-nucleotide long non-coding RNA. RefSeq lists it as uncharacterized. The transcript is spliced from 3 exons. Lineage: Eukaryota; Metazoa; Chordata; Actinopteri; Cyprinodontiformes; Rivulidae. The record is from RefSeq and is a predicted model, not a curated record.
GAAUGUAGGCGUGUCUGUUGGGACCAUAUAUCUUAUUCUGCAGACACAAGGACCCAGCAUCCUCUGUGCUGCUCAGACUGCAGUUUCUGUUCCAGGAUCUUCAUCCAAACAAGAGUUCUGAGCUCAUUUCUGAUUGUGAGAAAUCAACAUGAAGCUCUGUUCUACAAUAGCUGUUCUGCUUAUAGCAGCUUGUCUGUUUGUGCCCUCUAUACAGCGAAAACCUGGGGACUGCCCAACACACAUUAGGCAGUAUUAUAAAGGAUGUAGCUAUGACGAGGAAUGCCCCGGAAAUGAAAAAUGCUGUUACGUUGAUCAUGGACGGCACUGUGUUUCUCCUAUUUUCGUUUAGCAAAAACUUUGUGGAAAACAUCUGUUCAUUCCUCACCGUCAUGAUGAUAAUGAUGGUGAAUGCAGCUGCAAGAAGAAGUGCUCUCUAAA